GCUGUACGAAACAAAAGAAGUUUUGAAUUCUGAGAAACGCCCUCGAUCAAACAUAAUGUCAACUACAAUGUCCUGAGCUAUUCCCAAGGAAUUGUAUCUAUUUAUAGAUAUGACGUCAUGUUUCUGGGUGCAAUUGUCUGAAUACAAGUGUCAGGGAACAGGUGUCUGGGUACUUUUACCAUUAAACGCAAAGAAGAGGAUUACGUAUUCCCAGGAUGGACGUCUACACAUUUCUUCUGGUCUUAGUGGGCCUUGUUGGGAUGAUGAUCCUUCUUUACAAAUGUAUGGAUAACCGAGCCAAGGAGAGAGCAGUAGCUGCCUCACACAAGACUGACGUGGAUACUGUUGGGAAGGACUCCGAGGGGCACGUGGAACUUGCCUCCGCCACGGGACUGAGAAGUGAUAACGUGGGUGAUGCAUUGAAGACGAUGAAGCAAAUAGGGAACAUGAAGACAACGGGAAUGACAAGGGGGUCGGCGAACACUGUCGAGGCCACCGGAGUGGACAUCCGGAGAAGACAACAGCGUCCAGGGGAAGACAAAACCAAACCAAUGCCAAGAGCAACCACAACCACAUCUGUUGAGGUCACAGGUAUGACUGAUGGAAAAGCCGGUACAGUGAUCGCAGUGGGUGUCCGCCAGUGAUGACAGUGGGUGUCCGCCAGUGAUGACAGUGGGUGUCCGCCAGUGAAUACAGUGGGUGUCCGCCAGUGAUGACAGUGGGUGUCCGCCAGUGAAUACAGUGGGUGUCCGCCAGUGAUGACAGUGGGUGUCCGCCAGUGAAUACAGUGGGUGUCCGCCAGUGAUGACAGUGGGUGUUCGCCAGUGAUGACAGUGGGUGUCUAUAAGUGAUGACAGUUGGUGUCUAUAAGUGAUGACAGAGGGUGUCCGCCAGUACACACAAGUGAUCACAGUUAGUGUAAGCAAGUCAUGACAGUGGGUGUCCACCAGUAGAUGCAAGUGAUGACAGUGAGUGUCCGCCAGUAGAUACAAGUGGUAACAGCAGGUGUCCGCCAGUAGAUGCAAGUGAUGACAGCGGGUGUCCGCGAGUAGAUGCAGGUGGUGACAGCAGGUGUGCGCCAGUUGAUGCAAGUGGUGACAGUGGGUAUCCGCCAGUAGUUGCAAGUGAUGACAGCAGGUAUCCCCCAGUAGAUGCAAGUGAUGACAGCAGGUGUCCGCCAGUAGAUGCAAGUGGUGACAGUGGGUGUCCGCCAGUAGGCGCAAGUGGUGACAGUGGAUGUCCGCCAGUAGAUGCAAGUGGUGACAGCAGGUGUCCGCCAGUAGAUGCUAGUGAUGACAGCAGGUGUCCGCCAGUAGAUGCAAGUGGUCACAGUGGGUGUCCGCCAGUAGUUGCAAGUGAUGACAGCAGGUAUCCCCCAGUAGAUGCAAGUGGUGACAGAGUGUUCGCCAGUAGAUGCAAGUGAUGACAGGGGGUAUCCCCCAGUAGAUGCAAGUGAUGACAGCAGGUGUCCGCCAGUAGAUGCAAGUGGUGACAGCAGAUGUCCGCCAGUAGAUGCAAGUGAUGACAGCAGGUGUCCGCCAGUAGGCGCAAGUGGUGACAGUAGGUGUCCGCCAGUAGAUGCAAGUGACGACAGUGGGUUUCCGCCAGUAGAUGCAAGUGAUGACAGCAGGUGUCCGCCAGUUGAUGCAAGUGGUGACAGUGAGUGUCCGCCAGUAGAUGCAAGUGGUGACAGCGGGUGUCCGCCAGUAGAUGCAAGUGAUGACAGCGGGUGUCCGCCAGUAGAUGCAAGUGAUGACAGCGGGUGUCCGCCAGUAGAUGCAAGUGGUGACAGCUGGUGCCCGCCAGUAGAUGCAAGUGGUGACAGUGGGUGUCCGCCAGUAGAUGCAAGUGGUGACAGUGGGUGUCCGCCAGUAGAUGCAAGUGAUGACAGUGGGUUUCCGCCAGUAGAUGCAAGUGGUGACAGUGAGUGUCCGCGAGUAGGUGCAAGUGAUGACAGCAGGUGUCCGCCAGUAGUUGCAAGUGAUGACAGCAGGUAUCCCCCAGUAGAUGCAAGUGAUGACAGCAGGUGUCCGCCAGUAGAUGCAAGUGGUGACAGCAGGUGUCGGCCAGUAGAUACAAGUCAUGACAGCAGGUGACCGCCAGUAGAUCCAAGUGGUGACAGCAGGUGUCCGCCAGUAGGUGCAAGUGAUGACAGUGAGUGUCCGCCAGUUGAUACAAGUGGUGACAGCAGGUGUCCGCCAGUAGGUGAAAGUGAUGACAGUGGGUGUCCGCCAGUAGAUGCAAGUGGUGACAGCAGGUUUCCGCCAGUAGAUGCAAGUGGUGACAGUGGGUGUCGGCCAGUUCAUACAAGUGGUGACAGCAGGUGUCCGCAAAUAGAUACAAGUGGUGACAGCAGGUGUCCGCAAAUAGAUACUAGUGAUGACAGCAGGUGUCCGCCAGUAGAUGCAAGUGAUGACAGUGGGUGUCCGCCAGUAGAUGCAAGUGAUGACAGCAGGUGUCCGCAAGUAGAUGCAAGUGGUGACAGUGGGUGUCCGCCAGUAGAUGCAAGUCAUGACAGUGAGUGUCCGCCAGUAGAUGCAAGUGAUGACAGCAGGUAUCCCUCAGUAGAUGCAAGUGAUGACAGCAGGUGUCUGCCAGUAGAUGCAAGUGAUGACAGUGGGUGUCCGCAAGUGAUAACAGUUGGUGUCUGCCAGUAGAUGCAAGUGGUGACAGCGGGUGUCCCCCAGUAGAUACUAGUGAUGACAGUUGGUCUCCGCCAGUAGGUGCAAGUGAAAACAGGGGGUGUCCGCCAGUAGAUGCAAGUGAUGACAGCAGGUGUCCGCAAGUAGAUGCAAGUGGUGACAGUGGGUGUCCGCCUGUAGAUGCAAGUCAUGACAGUGAGUGUCCGCCAGUAGAUGCAAGUGAUGACAGCAGGUAUCCCUCAGUAGAUGCAAGUGAUGACAGCAGGUGUCUGCCAGUAGAUGCAAGUGAUGACAGUGGGUGUCCGCAAGUGAUAACAGUUGGUGUCUGCCAGUAGAUGCAAGUGGUGACAGCGGGUGUCCCCCAGUAGAUACUAGUGAUGACAGUUGGUCUCCGCCAGUAGAUGCAAGUGAUGACAGUGGGUUUCCGCCAGUAGAUGCAAGUGGUGACAGCAGGUGUCCGCCAGUAGGUGCAAGUGAUGUCAGUGGGUGUCCGCCAGUAGAUGCAAGUGAUGACAGUGGGUUUCCGCCAGUAGAUGCAAGUCAUGACAGUGAGUGUCCGCGAGUAGGUGCAAGUGAUGACAGCAGGUGUCCGCCAGUAGUUGCAAGUGAUGACAGCAGGUAUCCCCCAGUAGAUGCAAGUGAUGACAGCAGGUGUCCGCCAGUAGAUGCAAGUGGUGACAGCAGAUGUCCGCCAGUAGGUGCAAGUGAUGACAGUGGGUGUCCGCCAGUUGAUACAAGUGGUGACAGCAGGUGUCCGCCAGUACGUGAAAGUGAUGACAGUGGGUGUCCGCCAGUAGAUGCAAGUGAUGACAGCAGGUAUCCCCCAGUAGAUGCAAGUGGUGACAGAGUGUUCGCCAGUAGAUGCAAGUGAUGACAGGGGGUAUCCCCCAGUAGAUGCAAGUGAUGACAGCAGGUGUCCGCCAGUAGAUGCAAGUGGUGACAGCAGAUGUCCGCCAGUAGAUGCAAGUGAUGACAGCAGGUGUCCGCCAGUAGGCGCAAGUGGUGACAGUGGGUGUCCGCCAGUAGAUGCAAGUGACGACAGUGGGUUUCCGCCAGUAGAUGCAAGUGAUGACAGCAGGUGUCCGCCAGUUGAUGCAAGUGGUGACAGUGAGUGUCCGCCAGUAGAUGCAAGUGGUGACAGCGGGUGUCCGCCAGUAGAUGCAAGUGAUGACAGCGGGUGUCCGCCAGUAGAUGCAAGUGAUGACAGCGGGUGUCCGCCAGUAGAUGCAAGUGGUGACAGCUGGUGCCCGCCAGUAGAUGCAAGUGGUGACAGUGGGUGUCCGCCAGUAGAUGCAAGUGGUGACAGUGGGUGUCCGCCAGUAGAUGCAAGUGAUGACAGUGGGUUUCCGCCAGUAGAUGCAAGUGGUGACAGUGAGUGUCCGCGAGUAGGUGCAAGUGAUGACAGCAGGUGUCCGCCAGUAGUUGCAAGUGAUGACAGCAGGUAUCCCCCAGUAGAUGCAAGUGAUGACAGCAGGUGUCCGCCAGUAGAUGCAAGUGGUGACAGCAGGUGUCGGCCAGUAGAUACAAGUCAUGACAGCAGGUGACCGCCAGUAGAUCCAAGUGGUGACAGCAGGUGUCCGCCAGUAGGUGCAAGUGAUGACAGUGGGUGUCCGCCAGUUGAUACAAGUGGUGACAGCAGGUGUCCGCCAGUAGGUGAAAGUGAUGACAGUGGGUGUCCGCCAGUAGAUGCAAGUGGUGACAGCAGGUUUCCGCCAGUAGAUGCAAGUGGUGACAGUGGGUGUCGGCCAGUUCAUACAAGUGGUGACAGCAGGUGUCCGCAAAUAGAUACAAGUGGUGACAGCAGGUGUCCGCAAAUAGAUACUAGUGAUGACAGCAGGUGUCCGCCAGUAGAUGCAAGUGAUGACAGUGGGUGUCCGCCAGUAGAUGCAAGUGAUGACAGCAGGUGUCCGCAAGUAGAUGCAAGUGGUGACAGUGGGUGUCCGCCAGUAGAUGCAAGUCAUGACAGUGAGUGUCCGCCAGUAGAUGCAAGUGAUGACAGCAGGUAUCCCUCAGUAGAUGCAAGUGAUGACAGCAGGUGUCUGCCAGUAGAUGCAAGUGAUGACAGUGGGUGUCCGCAAGUGAUAACAGUUGGUGUCUGCCAUUAGAUGCAAGUGGUGACAGCGGGUGUCACCCAGUAGAUACUAGUGAUGACAGUUGGUCUCCGCCAGUAGGUGCAAGUGAAAACAGGGGGUGUCCGCCAGUAGAUGCAAGUGAUGACAGCAGGUGUCCGCAAGUAGAUGCAAGUGGUGACAGUGGGUGUCCGCCUGUAGAUGCAAGUGAUGACAGUGAGUGUCCGCCAGUAGAUGCAAGUGAUGACAGCAGGUAUCCCUCAGUAGAUGCAAGUGAUGACAGCAGGUGUCUGCCAGUAGAUGCAAGUGAUGACAGUGGGUGUCCGCAAGUGAUAACAGUUGGUGUCUGCCAGUAGAUGCAAGUGGUGACAGCGGGUGUCCCCCAGUAGAUACUAGUGAUGACAGUUGGUCUCCGCCAGUAGAUGCAAGUGAUGACAGUGGGUUUCCGCCAGUAGAUGCAAGUGGUGACAGCAGGUGUCCGCCAGUAGGUGCAAGUGAUGUCAGUGGGUGUCCGCCAGUAGAUGCAAGUGAUGACAGUGGGUUUCCGCCAGUAGAUGCAAGUCAUGACAGUGAGUGUCCGCGAGUAGGUGCAAGUGAUGACAGCAGGUGUCCGCCAGUAGUUGCAUGUGAUGACAGCAGGUAUCCCCCAGUAGAUGCAAGUGAUGACAGCAGGUGUCCGCCAGUAGAUGCAAGUGGUGACAGCAGAUGUCCGCCAGUAGAUGCAAGUGAUGACAGUAGGUGUCCGCCAGUAGAUGCAAGUGAUGACAGCAGCUGUCCGCCAGUUGAUGCAAGUGAUGACAGUGAGUGUCCGCCAGUAGGUGCAAGUGGUGACAGCAGGUGUCCCCCCAGUAAUGCAAGUGGUGACAGCAGGUGUCGGCCAGUAGAUACAAGUCAUGACAGCAGGUGACCGCCAGUAGAUGCAAGUGGUGACAGCAGGUAUCCCCCAGUAGAUGCAAGUGAUGACAGCAGGUGUCCGCCAGUAGAUGCAAGUGGUGACAGUGGGUGUCCGCCAGUAGAUGCAAGUGAUGACAGUGGGUUUCCGCCAGUAGAUGCAAGUGGUGACAGUGAGUGUCCGCGAGUAGGUGCAAGUGAUGACAGCAGGUGUCCGCCAGUAGUUGCAAGUGAUGACAGCAGGUAUCCCCCAGUAGAUGCAAGUGAUGACAGCAGGUGUCCGCCAGUAGAUGCAAGUGGUGACAGCAGGUGUCGGCCAGUAGAUACAAGUCAUGACAGCAGGUGACCGCCAGUAGAUCCAAGUGGUGACAGCAGGUGUCCGCCAGUAGGUGCAAGUGAUGACAGUGGGUGUCCGCCAGUUGAUACAAGUGGUGACAGCAGGUGUCCGCCAGUAGGUGAAAGUGAUGACAGUGGGUGUCCGCCAGUAGAUGCAAGUGGUGACAGCAGGUUUCCGCCAGUAGAUGCAAGUGGUGACAGUGGGUGUCGGCCAGUUCAUACAAGUGGUGACAGCAGGUGUCCGCAAAUAGAUACAAGUGGUGACAGCAGGUGUCCGCAAAUAGAUACUAGUGAUGACAGCAGGUGUCCGCCAGUAGAUGCAAGUGAUGACAGUGGGUGUCCGCCAGUAGAUGCAAGUGAUGACAGCAGGUGUCCGCAAGUAGAUGCAAGUGGUGACAGUGGGUGUCCGCCAGUAGAUGCAAGUCAUGACAGUGAGUGUCCGCCAGUAGAUGCAAGUGAUGACAGCAGGUAUCCCUCAGUAGAUGCAAGUGAUGACAGCAGGUGUCUGCCAGUAGAUGCAAGUGAUGACAGUGGGUGUCCGCAAGUGAUAACAGUUGGUGUCUGCCAGUAGAUGCAAGUGGUGACAGCGGGUGUCCCCCAGUAGAUACUAGUGAUGACAGUUUGUCUCCGCCAGUAGGUGCAAGUGAAAACAGGGGGUGUCCGCCAGUAGAUGCAAGUGAUGACAGCAGGUGUCCGCAAGUAGAUGCAAGUGGUGACAGUGGGUGUCCGCCUGUAGAUGCAAGUCAUGACAGUGAGUGUCCGCCAGUAGAUGCAAGUGAUGACAGCAGGUAUCCCUCAGUAGAUGCAAGUGAUGACAGCAGGUGUCUGCCAGUAGAUGCAAGUGAUGACAGUGGGUGUCCGCAAGUGAUAACAGUUGGUGUCUGCCAGUAGAUGCAAGUGGUGACAGCGGGUGUCCCCCAGUAGAUACUAGUGAUGACAGUUGGUCUCCGCCAGUAGAUGCAAGUGAUGACAGUGGGUUUCCGCCAGUAGAUGCAAGUGGUGACAGCAGGUGUCCGCCAGUAGGUGCAAGUGAUGUCAGUGGGUGUCCGCCAGUAGAUGCAAGUGAUGACAGUGGGUUUCCGCCAGUAGAUGCAAGUCAUGACAGUGAGUGUCCGCGAGUAGGUGCAAGUGAUGACAGCAGGUGUCCGCCAGUAGUUGCAAGUGAUGACAGCAGGUAUCCCCCAGUAGAUGCAAGUGAUGACAGCAGGUGUCCGCCAGUAGAUGCAAGUGGUGACAGCAGAUGUCCGCCAGUAGAUGCAAGUGAUGACAGUAGGUGUCCGCCAGUAGAUGCAAGUGAUGACAGCAGCUGUCCGCCAGUUGAUGCAAGUGAUGACAGUGAGUGUCCGCCAGUAGGUGCAAGUGGUGACAGCCGGUGUCCCCCCAGUAAUGCAAGUGGUGACAGCAGGUGUCGGCCAGUAGAUACAAGUCAUGACAGCAGGUGACCGCCAGUAGAUGCAAGUGGUGACAGCAGGUGUCCGCCAGUAGAUGCAAGUGGUGACAGCAGGU
Haliotis rufescens (red abalone) is the source of this 7444-nucleotide RNA transcript. RefSeq lists it as uncharacterized. The transcript has 6 exons. The record is from RefSeq and is a predicted model, not a curated record. NCBI's taxonomy places the organism in Eukaryota, Metazoa, Mollusca, Gastropoda, Lepetellida, Haliotidae.